AUGUUGGUCACAACACUCCAAUGGGUGAUAUUGGCCAAAAUGCUUUAUCAGAGCAGUGGCUGUUGGAUCUGUGACUCAUUCAGCACUCCUCACAUUGGACAAGAUUUGGAAGCAACCUGUGUGUCCAUCAGCAGAUGCUUGGAUAAGAAAAUGUGGUAUUUCUACACAGUGGAGUACUAUUUAACUGUAAAAAUGAAUUGCCAAACAUGGAUGAAACUGGAGAUCAUUUUGCUAAGUGAAAUAAGCCAGGCACAGACAGACAGACAUUGUGUAUUCUCACUUAUUAUGAGACUGAUAAAUCAAAACAAUUACACUUAUGGAGACAGAGAGUAGAAAGGUUGUUACUACAGGCUGGGAAGUGUACUGGGUGUGUGGGGUGGGAGUUGGGUAUUGUUAAUGACUAUGAAAACAUAAUUUGAAAGAAUGAAUAAGACAUAGUAUUUGAUAGCACAACAGAGUGACUAUAGUCAGUAAUAAUUUAAUUGUGAUCUUGAAAAUAAAUACAAGAGUAUGAUUUGAUCAAUGCUUGAGUGGAUGGAUAUCCAGUUUUUCAUGAUGUGCUUAUUAAACAUUGGAUGCCUAUGCCAGACUAUCUCACAUAUGCUAUAAAUAUAUAUACCUACUGUAUGCUCACAAAAAUUAAAAUAAGGGUAUUGGAUAAUGAUCAAAGGGUCAGUCCAUCAAGAAAUUACAAUUGCAAUGCAUAUGGACAUGUCAUCAGAGGCUUCUCAGCCCAGGCUGACAUAAUGGAGAAAAAACAUAGACAAUUGAAUGGUAAUAACCAGGCACUUCAAUGCCCCCAUUUGCUCUAAAGAAUAAAACAACUCAGCUGAAGUGCGACAAAAAAUAAAAUCUUUAAAAACACUAUAUAUGCACUAGACAACAUAUCUACGGAGAAUUCCACCAACCAAAAAAAACAGAGUGCAUAUUAUUUUUCAGGGAACAAGAAACUUUAUGAUAGGUCAUAAAACAAACUCAAUAAAAUUAAAAGUAUUACUAUCUCAAAAACUAGACGCUAUAAACACAUUGAAAUUAAAUUAUAAUUUGAUAACAGAAAGAAAUUUGUAUAAUUCACAAUCUCUGGAAAAUACUGAAGUCACUUUUAAAUAACAAAUGCAUCAAAGGGGAAAUCACAAGAGAACUUAGAGAAUAUCUUGAGAUAAAUUAAAAUAAAAAUACAAUAUACCAAACAUAUAAAAUGCAGAUAAAGCAAUGCUUAAAGUAUAAUUUAUAACAGUGAACACCUCUAUUUACAAAAAAGAAGAUAGUAUCUAAUAUCUACUAUAGACAAUGGAAAAACAAGAGCAAACCACCACCUAACUUAGUAAAAUGAAGAAAUAAAAACCAGAGCAGAAAUAAAUGAAGUAGAAAUAGAAAACAUUAGAGAAAGCCAGUACUAACAAAGUUGGCUUUUAAAAAUGAUUAGCAACACUUUAGUCAGCUGGACUGACUAAAAGUUAAAAUGUGUAAAUUACUGAAAUUAGAAAGGAAAGAGUAUGAAUACCAAUUUGCAAAUACAAAAAUAAUUAUUAGGGAACAUUAUGAACAAGAAAGAUACAAACUAUUGAAUUUAAUUUCAGAAAAAAAGAAAGCUGGAUGUGUGAGAAAGAAUGUCUGUGCAGUAAGUCAAAUGAGUGUGGGAUUUUGCAUUGGAAUUCAAUGCUGGUCUUGCUAUAGUCUAACAGAGAACUGGGAAAAAAUUCUCAGUUGUUGAUUUUAGGCUGGUGCCCACAAAGGAAGCAUUUAAUAGCCAGGCUAUUCCAGAGGACAGUUUAUCACCCCUGGGGAAGGAAACCAAGACCUGACUCAUUUCACCAGUAGCUGAAUAAAGUGGUCUUCGUCCCUGAAUAAAUUCUGGUGUCAGCCAGGCCACGGUGACCAUGGUCCUUGGAUGAGCCCCAGUGCUGUGCUGAUCCGGGAGGCUGUGGGCUCAGGGCACAACCCACUGUGACAAAAACUGUUGCAGCUCACAUUACCCCCCCUUCAACUACAGGCAAUGUAGUGUGGAGAGAGACUUCUUUUACUUGGAAAAAGGAGAGGGAACAGUACAGGGACAUUUUCUUGCAACAUAGUAGCAGCCCUGCUGCAGGAAAUCAUAGCACUGAGAAUCAAUGUCCCAGAUUCCAGGCAGUUGCUUCAGAAUAGCAUUUCUAGACUGAGUCCAGGAUCAGGAAAGAAUCCACUGCCCCAGUGAGAUGGACUCAAGUCCUGUUCCACUUCACCACAGGCUGAUGAAUGUGGCCUCAGGCCUUGAGGAAACAUCAGCAGUAGUCAGUCAGUAACAGCUGUGAGCCUUAGGUGAGGUCUGGUACUUCACUGAUAUGGGAAGGUGUGGGAUUUAGGUGCAACCCAGUACUAUCCAAGCUGUAGUGGACAUGGGUGUGCCUGUGUCUCUGUUAUCUUCCUCAAGUUCAUAAGGGCUGAGUAUCUGUGAGUCUACAAGGGUUAUAAUAUUUCUGUCUUAGUGCAUCCUCUAGUAACAGUGUAGUCAGUGUUCACAGGCUAAGGAAAUUCAAUAGUGAAUCCUCUUUGAAUUAUUGGAAGACUCUCUGAAGAAAAGGUACAAAAAAAGCCAUAUCGACCUAACUUGUUAAUACACAGAUAUUGAUUAACAUCUACAAGCAUCAAGAACUUUCAAGGAAAUAUGACCUCACCAGAAAAUCUAAAUAAAGUGCUGUAGCUGACAUUAGAGUGACGAAGAUGUAUGACCUCUUAGACAGAAAAUUUAAAAUAGCUGUCUUGCAGAAGCUCAAUGAACUUCAAGAAACACAUAGAAACAAU
Callithrix jacchus (white-tufted-ear marmoset) is the source of this 2781-nucleotide long non-coding RNA. Lineage: Eukaryota; Metazoa; Chordata; Mammalia; Primates; Cebidae. The record is from Ensembl.